GAAUCUUCCCCAAUGGACGAAAGUCUGAGGGAGCGACGCCGCGUGCAGGAAGAAGGCCCUAGGGUCGUAAACUGCUUUUGCCGAGGAAGAAAUUAUGACGGUACUCGGAGAAUAAGAGGUUGCUAACUCUGUGCCAGCAGCAGCGGUGAUACAGAGACCUCAAGCGUUAUCCGGAUUUAUUGGGCGUAAAGGGUCCGCAGGUGGCCUGUCACGUCGUUGGUCAAAUUUCAGAGCUUAACUCUGAAACUGCUGACGAUACGGGCGGGCUAGAGCAUGGGAGAGGUAAGUGGAAUUACUGGUGUAGCGGUAAAAUGCGUUAAUAUCAGUAGGAACACCAAAUGCGAAGGCAA
This 350-nucleotide ribosomal RNA is filed under the name uncultured bacterium. RNAcentral's name for it is "bacterial SSU rRNA". It matches the Rfam family "Bacterial small subunit ribosomal RNA", at positions 359 to 724 of the family's 1533-position model. The record is from RNAcentral.